Molecule: ribosomal RNA, 500 nt
Filed under: uncultured Methanosaeta sp.
Lineage: Archaea; Methanobacteriati; Methanobacteriota; Methanomicrobia; Methanotrichales; Methanotrichaceae
Description: bacterial SSU rRNA
Rfam family: Archaeal small subunit ribosomal RNA
Source: RNAcentral
CAAGAAACUACGAAAGGUAAGUUGGACGGGGAGCACCACGGACGGGUGGAGUCGUUGUACGGUUUUAAUUGGAUUCAACGCCGAAUCGUUACCGGGACCGACAGCAAUAUGAAGGCCAGGCUGAAGACUUUGCCGGAUUAGCUGAGAGGUGGUGCAUGGCCGUCGUCAGUUCGUACUGUGAAGCAUCCUGUUAAGUCAGGCAACGAGCGAGACCCACGCCCACAGUUGCCAGCGUACUCUCUGGAGUGACGGGUACACUGUGGGGACCGCCGCUGCUAAAGCGGAGGAAGGAAUGGGCAACGGUAGGUCAGUAUGCCCCGAAUAUCCCGGGCUACACGCGAGCUACAAUGGUUGGUACAAUGGGUAUCUACCCCGAAAGGGGACGGGAAUCUCCUAAAACCAAUCUUAGUUCGGAUUGAGGGCUGCAACUCGCCCUCAUGAAGCUGGAAUCCGUAGUAAUCGCGUUUCAACAGAACGCGGUGAAUACGUCCCUGCUCCUU